This is a non-coding RNA of Triticum aestivum (bread wheat), 109 nucleotides long. The record is from Rfam. Lineage: Eukaryota; Viridiplantae; Streptophyta; Magnoliopsida; Poales; Poaceae.
CAUCUACUCCCUCCGUCCGAAAAUACUUGUCAUCAAAAUGGACAAAAUCUAGAUACAUCUCUUUUUACUCAUUUUGAUGACAAGUAUUUCCGGACGGAGGGAGUACUUG